UACGUAGGGUGCGAGCGUUAAUCGGAAUUACUGGGCGUAAAGCGUGCGCAGGCGGUUAUUUAAGACAGGUGUGAAAUCCCCGGGCUUAACCUGGGAAUUGCGCUUGUGACUGGAUGGCUAGAGUACGGCAGAGGGGGGUGGAAUUCCACGUGUAGCAGUGAAAUGCGUAGAGAUGUGGAGGAACACCGAUGGCGAAGGCAGCCCCCUGGGCCGAUACUGACGCUCAUGCACGAAAGCGUGGGGAGCAAACAGG
Molecule: ribosomal RNA, 253 nt
Filed under: uncultured bacterium
Lineage: Bacteria
Description: partial 16S ribosomal RNA
Rfam family: Bacterial small subunit ribosomal RNA
Source: RNAcentral